This 1326-nucleotide ribosomal RNA is filed under the name Thermococcus siculi. Its description in RNAcentral is "16S ribosomal RNA". It matches the Rfam family "Archaeal small subunit ribosomal RNA", at positions 9 to 1330 of the family's 1478-position model. The record is from RNAcentral. Lineage: Archaea; Methanobacteriati; Methanobacteriota; Thermococci; Thermococcales; Thermococcaceae.
UGAUCCUGCCGGAGGCCACUGCUAUGGGGGUCCGACUAAGCCAUGCGAGUCAUGGGGCGCGCUCUGCGCGCACCGGCGGACGGCUCAGUAACACGUCGGUAACCUACCCUCGGGAGGGGGAUAACCCCGGGAAACUGGGGCUAAUCCCCCAUAGGCCUGAGGUACUGGAAGGUCCUCAGGCCGAAAGGGUCUCUGACCGCCCGAGGAUGGGCCGGCGGCCGAUUAGGUAGUUGGUGGGGUAACGGCCCACCAAGCCGAAGAUCGGUACGGGCCAUGAGAGUGGGAGCCCGGAGAUGGACACUGAGACACGGGUCCAGGCCCUACGGGGCGCAGCAGGCGCGAAACCUCCGCAAUGCGGGCAACCGCGACGGGGGGACCCCCAGUGCCGUGGCAUCGCCACGGCUUUUCCGGAGUGUAAAGAGCUCCGGGAAUAAGGGCUGGGCAAGGCCGGUGGCAGCCGCCGCGGUAAUACCGGCGGCCCGAGUGGUGGCCGCUAUUAUUGGGCCUAAAGCGUCCGUAGCCGGGCCCGUAAGUCCCUGGCGAAAUCCCACGGCUCAACCGUGGGGCUUGCUGGGGAUACUGCGGGCCUUGGGACCGGGAGAGGCGGAGGGUACUCCUGGGGUAGGGGUGAAAUCCUAUAAUCCCAGGAGGACCGCCAGUGGCGAAGGCGCUCCGCUGGAACGGGUCCGACGGUGAGGGACGAAGGCCAGGGGAGCGAACCGGAUUAGAUACCCGGGUAGUCCUGGCUGUAAAGGAUGCGGGCUAGGUGUCGGGCGAGCUUCGAGCUCGCCCGGUGCCGAAGGGAAGCCGUUAAGCCCGCCGCCUGGGGAGUACGGCCGCAAGGCUGAAACUUAAAGGAAUUGGCGGGGGAGCACUACAAGGGGUGGAGCGUGCGGUUUAAUUGGAUUCAACGCCGGGAACCUCACCGGGGGCGACGGCAGGAUGAAGGCCAGGCUGAAGGUCUUGCCGGACACGCCGAGAGGAGGUGCAUGGCCGCCGUCAGCUCGUACCGUGAGGCGUCCACUUAAGUGUGGUAACGAGCGAGACCCGCGCCCCCAGUUGCCAGUCCUCCCCGCUGGGGAGGAGGCACUCUGGGGGGACCGCCGGCGAUAAGCCGGAGGAAGGAGCGGGCGACGGUAGGUCAGUAUGCCCCGAAACCCCCGGGCUACACGCGCGCUACAAUGGGCGGGACAAUGGGAUCCGACCCCGAAAGGGGAAGGGAAUCCCCUAAACCCGCCCCCAGUUCGGAUCGCGGGCUGCAACUCGCCCGCGUGAAGCUGGAAUCCCUAGUACCCGCGUGUCAUCAUCGCGCGGCGAAUACGUCCC